This 227-nucleotide long non-coding RNA is filed under the name Salvia miltiorrhiza (redroot sage). RNAcentral describes it as "long non-coding RNA (SMIL_LNC001156)". The record is from RNAcentral. Lineage: Eukaryota; Viridiplantae; Streptophyta; Magnoliopsida; Lamiales; Lamiaceae.
AGCCUUUUCUUAUCCAGGCUCAAAUUAUACAAUCUCGGAAACACAAACUUAAGGGGUUUGUCUACCGCCCACACAUCCUCCCAGAAGCUGGUCUCAAGUCCAUCCCCAAUUCUUCGCCUCAAAUUAUUGAUGAACCACCGAUCUCUCCUUCCUCCUCCCUUAUCCACAAUUUUUUGCCACCACCCUUUCUGUCCACCUCUUCCCGCCACCGAACAUUCUCCCCCUUC